Molecule: unclassified non-coding RNA, 277 nt
Filed under: Hevea brasiliensis (rubber tree)
Lineage: Eukaryota; Viridiplantae; Streptophyta; Magnoliopsida; Malpighiales; Euphorbiaceae
Source: RNAcentral
CCGGGAGUUCCAAUUUGUGGGUUCCAUCGUCAAAAUGCUACUUUUCGAUUGCAUGUUACUUCCAUGCUAAGUAUAAGGCUGGCUUAUCAAGCACUUACACAAAGAACGGAAAUCCAUGUAAAAUUACUUAUGGAUCUGGGGCUAUCUCCGGUUUCUUCAGCCAGGAUAAUGUACUAGUUGGAGACCUUGUUGUUAAAGAUAACACUUUCAUUGAGACUACACGAGAGUCAAGUUUGACUUUCGUUCUGGCGAAGUUUGAUGGCAUACUUGGUCUCGG